UACGUAGGGUGCGAGCGUUAAUCGGAAUUACUGGGCGUAAAGCGUGCGCAGGCGGUUUUGUAAGCCAGAUGUGAAAGCCCCGGGCUUAACCUGGGAAUGGCAUUUGGGACUGCAAGGCUUGAGUGCGGCAGAGGAGACUGGAAUUCCUGGUGUAGCGGUGAAAUGCGCAGAUAUCAGGAGGAACACCAAUGGCGAAGGCAGCUCGCUGGGACGUGACUGACGCUGAGACGCGAAAGCGUGGGGAGCAAACAGG
This 253-nucleotide ribosomal RNA is filed under the name uncultured bacterium. Its description in RNAcentral is "partial 16S ribosomal RNA". It matches the Rfam family "Bacterial small subunit ribosomal RNA", at positions 524 to 776 of the family's 1533-position model. The record is from RNAcentral.